Molecule: long non-coding RNA, 2961 nt
Filed under: Fragaria vesca (wild strawberry)
Lineage: Eukaryota; Viridiplantae; Streptophyta; Magnoliopsida; Rosales; Rosaceae
Description: long non-coding RNA (FVES_LNC001923)
Source: RNAcentral
UCUAUUUUUUCCUCUCGAAAUCAAGGCUCAUGCUUAAAAGCUUAUUCACUCAUAUGCAUAUGUGAGAGAAGAUAUAUAAAGGCAAACAAAUAGCUCACAUAUUACGAAAGAAAAACACUUUGUGAAAAAGAAAGAUCUCAUGAAGGAUAUCAAUUACUUGCACAAAUAGACCCAAACCAUAUGCUCACUCUUGUAACACAUCUCCACAGAUCAAAGGCUGCUUAUCUUAAGGAUCAUAAAAGAACUUUACAAGGUUAUAAUCGGGCCAUGGCUAAGGUUUAAAGAACAAAAGGAUAUGUAAAUAACAAAGCAUCCUCAAAACCUAGUAGAGCCAUAAGAUCACCUUAGAACACUCAUGAAAAAUGACAAAGACCAUAUAUAACAUUAUUGGGUCUUCAAUUUAAAACAAACUCCUCAAUCACAAUGGGGGACUUAAUCCACUACUUCAUUUUUUUCUCUUGCCGUCGCAUUUGUAUAAUUUCUCUUUUUUUUUCUUUUUUUCUUCAUACGGCAACACACUUUUUUUUCUUCUUUUCUUCUCUUUUUUUUUUAUUCUGGACACCCCCACACUUGCUUUUGACCAUCACCUCCUCUUUUAAAUAAGUACAAAUCCCCAAAGUAUAGCUCUACUAGAUCUUAGAACAAAGGUAAGGAUUCAACUAUACUAAAGCUCAAAGGAAAUGAUAAUAUGAGUGAUGAAAGAAAAGGCUAAACUUGUAAGCUCAAAGGGGUUAUCUAAGGGGUGUAUAAUUAGGGACACAUGGCAAUUUGGCAAUGGUGAAAAUCCUAAGUCCACUACCAGAAGAAAGGCUUUAGCCGAAGAAAAUAAAAAAAUCAGCUCGACGAAUUUUUUUUUCGUCGGCUAAAGUCCACUUUAGCCGACGAAUUUUUUUUCGUCGGCUAAUUUAAAAUUUUCUUCGGCUAUGGUCAACUUUAGCCGACGAAAUUAAUAUUUCGUCGGCUGAAUAAUUUUUUUCGUCGGCUAUAGUCUGUGAACUUUAGCCGACGAAAUUUUAAAAGUUUAGCCGACGAAAUUUUUUAAAAGUUUAGCCGACGAAAUUUUUUAAACUUUAGCCGACGAAAUUUUUAAAAUGUUAGCCGACGAAAAAAUAUAAUUUCAUCGGCUAAAGUGCCUUAUAUUUGCAGAUCUAGACAACAACUCAUCUGAGAAAAAAAAACUAUACGUAGAUCUUUCAAACGCAAAAAAGUCGUGAAAUAAGAUAUGACCAGAAUGGUGAAAUACGUCUACGGUUGAAAAAUCACAGUAUUCCGGUAAAGUCUCGGUGCCGAUAGUUGACUUACCCUUAUUAUUCACUAUGCUGCAGAUUUGGCAUUUGGUGUCUGAUUGACUAUUGUGAUACCUUUCCGGAAGCGUAACGGCGCUACGAGUCAAACUCAUCGCUUAUGCCAUGAUGAAUAGGCUUUUUUGGCCAUCCGAGUCCGUUUAGGGCUUCAAAAUGUAGUUUUCUUAUUUUCGAUUAGAGUUGACCGUUUCGAUCGAGCCCUUAACGUUGUCGAAUCCAGUUGAAUUUUUUAUCAUAGACAUCUUUCAUCAUAAUGAUCAUAUAUGACAGUCGAAUUUUGGUUUGUGAAUUUUAGUCAUCGGAAUCACAACGUGUCUACUAUUUACCGUUAUUCGGGUUUAUGGGGAGCCCUAUCGUCGGAAGGUAAAUGUCUCAAAAUUUUUAUAUGGGCAGUUGCGUCUCAUCUACGUGAGAGUUUUUUGUGUGGAAGGUUUGACCAAACUACGUAAUAUAGAGGGAGAUAUGAGCGUUUUCGUGUGAUAAGUGACGAUGGAUUAUGGUUGACCGUUUCGAUCGAGCCCUUAACUUUGUCGGAUCCAGUUGAAUUUUUUACCAUAGACAUAUUUCAUCAUAAUGAUCAUAUCUGACGGUCGAAUUUUGGUUUGUGAAUUUCAGUCAUCGGAAUCACAACGUGUCUACUAAUGUUGUAUAACUUGUUUAGUAGGUUAUACAACUUUGUGAACCAACUCUACAUAGGAAGCAAAAUUAUUAAAAAUCAUGUGAAAUAAGAUGUGUUCAGAAUGGUGAAAUACGGCUAUGGUUCAAAAAUCAUGUAAAUCGGGUAAAGUCUCGGUGCCGAUAGUAGCGGUCAACCCUAUUUACCGUUAUUAUUCCUUAUGGGGAGCCCUAUCGUCGGAAGGUAAAUGUCUCAAAAUUUUUAUAUAGACGGUUGCGUCUCAUCUACGUGAGAGUUUUUCGUGUGGAAGAUUUGACCAAACUACGCAAUAUAGGGCGAGAUAUGAGCGUUUUCGUGAAUUUAUAGACUUUAGCCGACGAAAAUAUAUGAAAAGUCGUCGGCUAAGGUAAAAAAAUUUCAAAAUUUUUUGGGUGGUAAACCAAAGUUGGAGGAAAAUUUUCAAAGGACUUUAGCUGACGAAAAUAUAUGAAAAGUCGUCGGCUAAAGUCGAAAAAUUUUCAAAAUUUUCAACCAAAAUUUUUUGGCGGUCAACCAAAAUUUUCAAAAGAGUUUAGCCGACGAAAAUAAAGAAUUUCGUCGGCUAAAGUUCUUUAUAUAGGCGAAGAUAGAUGGUAAGAAGUCUAUUAUCUGCCAGAUUUUCUUCUCGGCCUAGCUCCGCCGUCAAGCCACCGGAGACCGCCACACUUGUCCCAAAAGCUUCGCCGUCGUCUCUACUUCAUUGCUGGAUAGGUGGUGCAUCGAGUGGCGCCGCCGUGAGGGAAAAAUCGAGCUCCAAAACUCCGCCGGUUCGGAUUCGGUGUCGAUCGAAUUUCUCCUUCCUUAGGUCACCAUUUGGUGAGUUCUAUAUAUGGAUAAGUUGAGUUUGAUUAGUACUACAUUCCCCUAGAAUUUGGUAGCUCGAUUCGGUGUGUGUGAAGAGAAUCGAAGAUUUGAAGUUUUUAGGGUUUAAAAUUGGGGAUUUUUAUAUUUUCAGUCGAUUGACCUGUUUAGGUUUAGAAUUAAGCUUCGACUUCUUCNNNN